This 518-nucleotide ribosomal RNA is filed under the name Salmonella enterica subsp. enterica serovar Typhimurium. Its description in RNAcentral is "bacterial SSU rRNA". It matches the Rfam family "Bacterial small subunit ribosomal RNA", at positions 1020 to 1533 of the family's 1533-position model. The record is from RNAcentral. Lineage: Bacteria; Pseudomonadati; Pseudomonadota; Gammaproteobacteria; Enterobacterales; Enterobacteriaceae.
UCGGGAACUGUGAGACAGGUGCUGCAUGGCUGUCGUCAGCUCGUGUUGUGAAAUGUUGGGUUAAGUCCCGCAACGAGCGCAACCCUUAUCCUUUGUUGCCAGCGAUUAGGUCGGGAACUCAAAGGAGACUGCCAGUGAUAAACUGGAGGAAGGUGGGGAUGACGUCAAGUCAUCAUGGCCCUUACGACCAGGGCUACACACGUGCUACAAUGGCGCAUACAAAGAGAAGCGACCUCGCGAGAGCAAGCGGACCUCAUAAAGUGCGUCGUAGUCCGGAUUGGAGUCUGCAACUCGACUCCAUGAAGUCGGAAUCGCUAGUAAUCGUGGAUCAGAAUGCCACGGUGAAUACGUUCCCGGGCCUUGUACACACCGCCCGUCACACCAUGGGAGUGGGUUGCAAAAGAAGUAGGUAGCUUAACCUUCGGGAGGGCGCUUACCACUUUGUGAUUCAUGACUGGGGUGAAGUCGUAACAAGGUAACCGUAGGGGAACCUGCGGUUGGAUCACCUCCUUACCUUA